RNAcentral lists this long non-coding RNA (3015 nucleotides) under Gossypium barbadense (sea-island cotton). RNAcentral describes it as "long non-coding RNA (GBAR_LNC016242)". Lineage: Eukaryota; Viridiplantae; Streptophyta; Magnoliopsida; Malvales; Malvaceae. The record is from RNAcentral.
GAUUUAGGGAGGGCUAUAUAAAGGCCAAUGAUUUUCUGUAACUUGGUUAGAAAAAUUUUGUACUAAAAAGAGAAAAAUCUUGUAUUGUAAAAAUACUGAAAUACAAACAAAGAAUCAAAAACAAUUUUUGAAGGUAAUUUUCUUUGUGUUUUAUUUAUUUAUCUACUUUUUUUUUCUUUGCUUCUCUGUUUUUGGUGCAAAAGAAAAAGCAAAAAGAAAAGGACGAAACUUACAUGAAUUGGAGUCGGCGGCGAAGCUUGAACGGCGGUGGCGUGGCGAUAGUUAGGGCUUUAAAGAAGGCCUAGCAGAUCCCUCUUUCUUCCCUCUGUUGUUUUAAAAAAGAAAAAGGAAGAUGAAGCAAUUUUGCGCCUAUUGCUGCUGCAGAGUAGGCUUUUAAUUGGAGAUGAAAAGGGUUUUAAACACUGAUGGGUUAUUUGCGUUUUUAAUCCUUCAUUUUAUCCCAUCAUUUCAAAAUCAUUGUGGUUUGUUUUCAAAUUUUGCCAUGAAAUGUUGAAUUUGUUUUAUUUUAAUCCAUUGCUGCGUGGAGUUUUGGACGGAGGGAUUAAUUUCACUUUCGGUCCUCCACUGUUAACUGCAUGUUCCAUUUGAUCCAUUGGUGUUUUGUUUAUUUCAGAUUUUCCCCUGAAACUUCAAUUAUUUUCAAUUUAAUCCAUAAUCUUUCAUUUUAAGUUUUUUAGUUUAUUUUAUUAAUAUAAUUAUUUUUAUUUUUAUUAUUACUAUUAUUAUUAUAUUUAUUAUACUUACAUAUAUACACGCAUGUGUACUUUAUAAUAUAUGUGUAUAUUUUUUAUUUCUAAAUGUUUUAAAUAUAUAUAUAUAUAGUGCGUAUAUAUUUUAUUACCAUAUUUUAUAUAUAUAUAGUUUAUAUAUAUAUAUUAUAUACAUUCAUAUUUUUUAUAAUUAUUUAUGUUUUCAUGUUUUAUAAUUCAUAUGUUUAUACAUUUUUUAUAAUAUGUACAAAUCAUAUACUUCAUUAUUACUUUAUUUUUCUUAGUUUUAUAUGCAUACGUACAUAUACUUACAUUUUAUGAUUUUCACAUCGUUUUUCAUUUUUUUUAAAAGAAAUUAAAAUAUAUAUUUUUUACAUAUAUGCAUAUACAUAUAUUAUUAAAAACUUUUAUAAAUAUAUUUUCCAUAUAUUUUUAUAUAUACAUAUAUACCUAUAUUUUCAUAAUUAUUAAUAUAUUAUGCUUACGUUUUUAUUUUUAUGACAACUCAUUAUAUUUUAUGAUUAUGUUCUUUUUAUAAUUUUUGUAUACAUAUAUAGGUAUAUUUUAAAUUAGAGUAAUGAUUUCAUGUUACGCAUUAGCGUUUUAUCAUACUUUUAAAGAAAAAUCUAUUUUUGCUUCGUCAAAGCAUUAAAAUCGUUUUUUUUAAUUUUUAAAUAUUUAGCAAUCAUGGUUCUCGAGAAAGAUCGUGUCCUAACUUACUGGAUCAUGAUCAUUUUUUCGAUGAAUUUAACGAGUUAAGUAUUUAUUUUACAAUAAAUUUGCAAUUUUCAAAUAAAACCUUAUUCUCAGGAAUUCAAAAUGUCGGGUCCUAACUUACUGGUCGUGACAUUUCGUUAUCUCGAAAUAAGAAUUUCUAAAACAAAAAGUAAUAUUCGGUAUUUUGAAGAUAUAAAAUAUUGUGCCCUAACUUACUGGGUGUGGUGUUUUAUUUCUUUGAAAUGAGAAUGUUUUAUCAUUUUAGAUCCAUUCACGGGUUAAAAAUUUCUAUUUAAAAUCUUUUCAAAUUUUCGACAUCAAGACAUUAAAUAAUCAAUUUGGUACCGAUUUUUGGGCGUUACGAGGGUGCUAACCCUUCCUCGUGCGUAACUGACUCCCGAACCUGUUUUCUCAAAUUUCGCAGGCCAAAAUUGUUUUUAAGGUGAGCCGAUCACACCUCAAUCAAGGAUCGGUGGCGACUCCAAUUUUUAUUUUCAAAGUCGAUAACUUAUUUUUGUUUUCAAAAAAAUGGUUUUGACAGCUUGACGACUCCAGUGGGGACCAUUAGAGAGUCGAGCCAUGAAUUGAUUAUCUUUUGUCUUUUUUGUCAAAAAUUAAAGUUGUUUUAAAACCUGAUUUUCUCUUUGUAUUCAUUAGUUUUAAUUGUCAUAUGCUUGUUUGGUUGGUUUAAGUCUGUCGGUUUAUUUGCAUUUUUGCAUUUCAUGGUCAAUUUUACCCCUCUAAGUGGAAGUGAGAAACUAGUCCUUCGUGAGGUUUUCACCUCCGUGUACGAUAGUGGAUCGCUUUCGGAAUACAUCUGUACCUAUGUCUUCGUGAGAUUUUCAUCUCCGUGCAGCCAUAGGGAAAUAUAUUCCCCUGAACCGAACUUGGUCCAUAUGAGCCUAUAAUGGGUGAGGAUCGAGGAAUCUGCUGGUUCGGGUACCCUUGCUCUAGAAGCCAAAACCUCAUAUAGUGAACCUUAGGAACCCACCCUAGGUAGAAUUACUUUGAACCUUAGUAGACACCUAAUUAGGAGUUUUUACUAUUUCUUGGUUGUAUUGUAUUUAAUUGUUACUGACUUUUUGUGUUUUACUCUGAUUGCAUGGCAUUACAAUUACAUGGCAUUCCAUUAUAAAGUGGCGUUUCGUAUUCGGUUGCUAGACAGAAAGUUUAUCAUGGGAAAUGGGUUUCUUGAUAAAGUGGAAGAUAAUACGGCUGCCUGAAUAUAUUCCAAGAAACGCUAGAAGGGUGAUGGAGGAAUACAUGACUUUACUUCGUGCCUCAAGGUCAAGCUGAUUAUUCAAGAGUUUCUGACAUUUCAACCUCAUUAAAGAAGCUGAUAACCCUUACGAGGAUGCGCAGACGUUGGAUUAUAACCAGGAUCAAGUAAAAAGGGAGGUAGAGGAGAUACCCCUUUUGAAGAAUUCGCAAGAUUUAUCUUAGCAUCCAGAUGAAGAAGGAGAAGAUGUCUUCGCCUGGAGUAUGAGGCAAAGCCGUAUAUAUAUAUCCGCUUUAUGUAAAGAAAUUCGUCUUCUAGUAAAGUUUUCUAAAUGGAAUUGAAUCAGAA